Molecule: transfer RNA, 72 nt
Filed under: Camelus bactrianus (Bactrian camel)
Lineage: Eukaryota; Metazoa; Chordata; Mammalia; Artiodactyla; Camelidae
Also listed under: 1 other name
Rfam family: tRNA
About the family: Transfer RNA (tRNA) molecules are approximately 80 nucleotides in length.
Source: Rfam by way of RNAcentral
AAAGGUAUAGCUCAGUGGUAGAGUGCUUGCUUAGCAGACACGAGGUCCUGGGUUCAAUCCCCAGCACCUCCA